Apodemus sylvaticus (European woodmouse) is the source of this 131-nucleotide small nucleolar RNA. RefSeq annotates it as small nucleolar RNA SNORA17. NCBI's taxonomy places the organism in Eukaryota, Metazoa, Chordata, Mammalia, Rodentia, Muridae. The transcript has a single exon. The record is from RefSeq and is a predicted model, not a curated record.
AAUGCCCUAGAGGGGUUGCUGGUGUGACUGCUGUAUCACAUGUGUGUCAGUAGGUGGCAGAGGAGAAGCUGUGUCUAUGCUCAGUGCUCUGACCUGUGGACAUCUGAAUGAUUGAUGAGUAGCCUAACAUU